Molecule: ribosomal RNA, 252 nt
Filed under: uncultured Bacteroidales bacterium
Lineage: Bacteria; Pseudomonadati; Bacteroidota; Bacteroidia; Bacteroidales
Description: partial 16S ribosomal RNA
Rfam family: Bacterial small subunit ribosomal RNA
Source: RNAcentral
UAAGGAGGAUGCGAGCGUUAUCCGGCUUUAUUGGGUUUAAAGGGUGCGCAGGCGGCCUGUUAAGUCAGCGGUAAAAGCCCGGGGCUCAACCUCGUCGAGCCGUUGAAACUGGGUGCCUUGAGUGGGCGAGAAGUACGCGGAAUGCGUGGUGUAGCGGUGAAAUGCAUAGAUAUCACGCAGAACCCCGAUUGCGAAGGCAGCAUACCGGUGCACAACUGACGCUCAGGCACGAAAGCGUGGGUAUCGAACAGG